AAUGAACGUUGGCGGCGUGGAUUAGGCAUGCAAGUCGAGCGUGAUAGGUUUGGUGCUUGCAUUAAACCUUGAAAGCGGCGAAAGGGACAGUAACGCGUAGAUACCUACCUCCAGGUCCGGGAUAGCGACGGGAAACUGCCGGUAAUACCGGAUAAUGUCUUCGGCCCAAAGGUGUGAUUCCGCAUGGAGACGGAUCUGCGUCCUAUUAGCUAGUUGGUGGGGUAAUGGCCCACCAAGGCGAUGAUGGGUAGCGGGCGUGAGAGCGUGGCCCGCGUCACUGGGACUGAGACACUGCCCAGACACCUACGGGUGGCUGCAGUCGAGAAUCUUCGGCAAUGGGCGCAAGCCUGACCGAGCGACGCCGCGUGCGGGAUGAAGGCCUUCGGGUUGUAAACCGCUGUCGGAGAGGCGGAAAUCUCUAGGGGUUCUCCCCUAGAGUUGACCCAAUCUCGGAGGAAGUCCGGGCUAAGUUCGUGCCAGCCGCCGCCGUAA
This 492-nucleotide ribosomal RNA is filed under the name uncultured bacterium. Its description in RNAcentral is "partial 16S ribosomal RNA". It matches the Rfam family "Bacterial small subunit ribosomal RNA", at positions 29 to 523 of the family's 1533-position model. The record is from RNAcentral.